Molecule: non-coding RNA, 77 nt
Filed under: Blautia sp. CAG:257
Lineage: Bacteria; Bacillati; Bacillota; Clostridia; Lachnospirales; Lachnospiraceae
Also listed under: 1 other name
Description: Fluoride riboswitch aptamer (crcB RNA motif)
Rfam family: Fluoride riboswitch aptamer (crcB RNA motif)
Source: Rfam by way of RNAcentral
AUUUUAUUGGGGAAUGAAUGUCUCCCUAAGUAUUAAUACUUAAACCGCUUAGAAAAGCUGAUGACUUCUGCAAUCAA